This 437-nucleotide ribosomal RNA is filed under the name uncultured bacterium. Its description in RNAcentral is "partial 16S ribosomal RNA". It matches the Rfam family "Bacterial small subunit ribosomal RNA", at positions 29 to 507 of the family's 1533-position model. The record is from RNAcentral.
AGCGAACGCUGGCGGCAGGCUUAACACAUGCAAGUCGAGCGGGCAUCCUUGUGGUGUCAGCGGCAGACGGGUGAGUAACGCGUGGGAACGUGCCCUUCGGUUCGGAAUAACUCAGGGAAACUUGAGCUAAUACCGGAUACGUGCGAGAGCAGAAAGGUUUAUCUGCCGAAGGAUCGGCCCGCGUCUGAUUAGCUAGUUGGUGAGGUUAUGGCUCACCAAGGCGACGAUCAGUAGCUGGUCUGAGAGGAUGAUCAGCCACACUGGGACUGAGACACGGCCCAGACUCCUACGGGAGGCAGCAGUGGGGAAUAUUGGACAAUGGGGGCAACCCUGAUCCAGCCAUGCCGCGUGAGUGAUGACGGCCUUAUGGUUGUAAAGCUCUUUUCUCCGGGACGAUAAUGACGGUACCGGAGGAAUAAGCCCCGGCUAACUUCGUG